UACGUAGGUGGCAAGCGUUGUCCGGAAUUACUGGGUGUAAAGGGCGUGUAGGCGGGAAGGCAAGUCAGAUGUGAAAGCCCAUGGCUUAACUGUGGAACUGCAUCUGAAACUGUUUUUCUUGAGUACUGGAGAGGAAAGUGGAAUUCCUAGUGUAGCGGUGAAAUGCGUAGAGAUUAGGAGGAACACCAGUGGCGAAGGCGGCUCUCUGGACUGUAACUGACACUGAGGCGCGAAAGCGUGGGGAGCAAACAGGAUUAGAUACCCU
Molecule: ribosomal RNA, 265 nt
Filed under: uncultured prokaryote
Description: partial 16S ribosomal RNA
Rfam family: Bacterial small subunit ribosomal RNA
Source: RNAcentral